UACGUAGGUGACAAGCGUUGUCCGGAUUUACUGGGCGUAAAGAGCGCGCAGGCGGUCGUUCAAGUCGAGUGUGAAAGCCCCCGGCUCAACUGGGGAGGGUCAUUCGAUACUGAUCGACUCGAAGGCAGGAGAGGGAUGCAGAAUUCCAGGUGUAGCGGUGAAAUGCGUAGAUAUCUGGAGGAAUACCGGUGGCGAAGGCGGCAUCCUGGACCGACAUUGACGCUGAACGGCGAAAGCUAGGGGAGCAAACGGG
RNAcentral lists this ribosomal RNA (253 nucleotides) under uncultured bacterium. RNAcentral's name for it is "partial 16S ribosomal RNA". It matches the Rfam family "Bacterial small subunit ribosomal RNA", at positions 524 to 776 of the family's 1533-position model. The record is from RNAcentral.